GCCGGUGUGGUGGAAUUGGCAGACGCGCCGGACUCAAAAUCCGGUGGGGGCAACUCCGUGUGGGUUCAACUCCCACCACCGGCACCA
RNAcentral lists this transfer RNA (87 nucleotides) under Nitrospira sp. RNAcentral describes it as "tRNA-Leu". It matches the Rfam family "tRNA". From Rfam's summary of the family: Transfer RNA (tRNA) molecules are approximately 80 nucleotides in length. The record is from RNAcentral. RNAcentral also lists the same sequence under 7 other names. Lineage: Bacteria; Pseudomonadati; Nitrospirota; Nitrospiria; Nitrospirales; Nitrospiraceae.